RNAcentral lists this long non-coding RNA (242 nucleotides) under Nicotiana benthamiana. RNAcentral's name for it is "long non-coding RNA (NBEN_LNC032370)". Lineage: Eukaryota; Viridiplantae; Streptophyta; Magnoliopsida; Solanales; Solanaceae. The record is from RNAcentral.
AGCUAGUGCAUUGUUCUCUCCCAUAAUUCAACAGUGACUGGGCAGAACAGUAGCAAAUGGUCUCUGGUUUCUGGGUGAUUUUGGCAUAAGGUACAUUGUUGAUCAACACUCAUUCCCCAGCUGUGCAAUCUGUCUUUUGUUGGAAGUCUAUCUUGUAAGAACAGCCAUAGAUUGAAGGUUACAUUUGGAUUUGCAUAGUUUGUAUGAUUAAAUUCUUCCAUGGGACUCUCGACAGGUCUUGC